RNAcentral lists this transfer RNA (66 nucleotides) under Orfelia nemoralis. RNAcentral describes it as "tRNA-Trp". Lineage: Eukaryota; Metazoa; Arthropoda; Insecta; Diptera; Keroplatidae. The record is from RNAcentral.
AAAACUUUAAGUUAAAAAAACUAAUAGCCUUCAAAGCUUUAAUUAUAAUUUAUUUUUUAAGUUUUA